CCUACGGGAGGCAGCAGUGAGGAAUAUUGGUCAAUGGACGCAAGUCUGAACCAGCCAUGCCGCGUGCAGGAUGACGGCUCUAUGAGUUGUAAACUGCUUUUGUACGAGGGUAAACCCCGAUACGUGUAUCGGGUUGAAAGUAUCGUACGAAUAAGGAUCGGCUACCUCGUGCCAGCAGCCGCGGUAAUACGGAGGAUCCCGGCGUUAUACGGAUUUAUUGGGGUUAAAGGGGGCGUAGGCGGUUUGAUAAGUUAGAGGUGAAAUGUCGGGGCUCAACCCCCAAACUGCCUCUAAUACUGUUGGACUAGAGAAUAGUUGCGGUAGGCGGAAUGUAUGGGGUAGCGGUGAAAUGCUUAGAGAUCAUACAGAACACCGAUUGCGAAGGCAGCUUACCAAACUAUAUCUGACGUUGAGGCACGAAAGCGUGGGUAGCAAACAGGAUUAGAUACCCCAGUAGUC
RNAcentral lists this ribosomal RNA (459 nucleotides) under uncultured bacterium. Its description in RNAcentral is "partial 16S ribosomal RNA". It matches the Rfam family "Bacterial small subunit ribosomal RNA", at positions 338 to 795 of the family's 1533-position model. The record is from RNAcentral.